RNAcentral lists this ribosomal RNA (579 nucleotides) under Triticum aestivum (bread wheat). Its description in RNAcentral is "partial small subunit ribosomal RNA". Lineage: Eukaryota; Viridiplantae; Streptophyta; Magnoliopsida; Poales; Poaceae. The record is from RNAcentral.
AUGCGAUGGAGGUGGACUGCGGAUGGCAAGUACUCGGCCGCCUCGGCAUACCACAAGAUGUUCCAGGGUGCCAUCCCAACCAACGACAAAGCGAUCAUCUGGUCGGCCAAUGCGGCGCCGCGUGCCAAAACGUUUGCCUGGAUCCUGCUGCCGGGAAAGUGCCUGACGGCAGACAACCUCCGGCGACGGCGCAUUCCACACGACCCGGUCUGCCCGCUCUGCCGAGCGGCACCGGAAACGGCGCAACACCUCAUCGCGGCGUGCCCGUUCUCUAUGCAGGUCUGGGCAAAAACGGCGAACACUCUGGGCAGGCCCUUCUCGGAACUGGCAAUGCCUUCUGAUGCCCGUUGGCCGGUGCGGUUCAGAAGACAGACGCGAUCACUCCCGCGUGCCAGCAGGGCUACUUGGAAGGCCACCUGCUUGCUGGUCUCUUGGUGCAUUUGGAAGGAGCGGAACGACAGAAUCUUCAACGCCAAAGCAUGCACGCCGUCUCAAGUCCACUUUAGAAUCAUUGACGAGGCCAGAGUAUGGGUACAGGCGGGUCUAGCACCCAUGGCCACCUUCUUUGAACCGCCUUAA